Molecule: ribosomal RNA, 443 nt
Filed under: uncultured bacterium
Lineage: Bacteria
Description: partial 16S ribosomal RNA
Rfam family: Bacterial small subunit ribosomal RNA
Source: RNAcentral
CCUACGGGAGGCAGCAGUAGGGAAUAUUGCGCAAUGGGCGAAAGCCUGACGCAGCAACGCCGCGUGAAGGAAGAAGGCUUUCGGGUUGUAAACUUCUUUUCUCAGGGACGAAACUAGUGACGGUACCUGAGGAAUCAGCCACGGCUAACUACGUGCCAGCAGCCGCGGUACUACGGAGGUGGCAAGCGUUAUCCGGAUUUAGUGGGUGUAAAGGGCGUGUAGGCGGGACUGCAAGUCAGAUGUGAAAACCACGGGCUCAACCUGUGGCCUGCAUUUGAAACUGUAGUUCUUGAGUACUGGAGAGGCAGAUGGAAUUCCUGGUGUAGCGGUGAAAUGCGUAGAGAUUAGGAGGAACACCAGUGGCGAAGGCGGUCUGCUGGACAGCAACUGACGCUGAGGCGCGAAAGCGUGGGGAGCAAACAGGAUUAGAUACCCGAGUAGUC